UUAAAAUACACAAUUUACAGACACUGUGUCCUAUCAAUGUAUCUACUUGAUACAAACUAAAUCAUCCUUAAACGACACAAUUUACAGACACUGUGUCUUAUCAAUGUAUCUACUUGAUACACACUAAAUUAACCUUAAAAGACACAAUUUACAGACACUUUGUCCUAUCAAUGUAUCUACUUGAUACAAACUAAAUUAUUCUCAUAAGACACAAUUUACAGACACUGUUUCCUAACAAUGUAUCUACUUGAUACAAACUAAAUUAUCCUUAAAAGACAUAAUUUACAGACACUGUGUCAUAUCAAUGUAUCUACUAGAUACAAACUAAAUUAUCCUAAAAAGACACAAUUUACAGACACUUUGUCCUAUCAAUGUAUCUACUUGAUACAAACUAAAUUAUCCUUAUCAGACACAAUUUACAGACACUGUGUCAUAUCAAUGUAUCUACUUGAUACAAACUAAAUUAU
RNAcentral lists this long non-coding RNA (467 nucleotides) under Mytilus galloprovincialis (Mediterranean mussel). Lineage: Eukaryota; Metazoa; Mollusca; Bivalvia; Mytilida; Mytilidae. The record is from RNAcentral.